GGACUCUGCGACACAAAUCGGUCCCGCGGUACCAACGGCGAUACUCGAAACAACGGAAAGGGACGGAACGAAGGAUAGAAAAAAAAGAAGCGGCGGCGGCGACAAGAGUCGAGGGCCGCUACAACCUAGGUACACGCCGCCGGCACCAAGGAUGGAGAAUGGGCAGCUGUCAAAUGAAUGGGCUGAAGAACAGAACGAACAAUACUUGCAUGAUGAUUGGGCUGACAGCUUAGGUGUUUUCAUUGAGAAUCCAGAAUAUGCGAACACAUUUGAGGACGACACGUCCUCUCAGCAAACGUUUCCAUCCCACGAGAAAGCAAAAGGUAAAGAACAGAAGAAACUAAGAAAGCAGAAAAAUGUUGCCCAUAGAGGGUCUGCCUUUACCAAGGAGGAGGAUGCUGUGAUUUGCUCGGCCUUUCUCCAUGUCAGUAAGGAUCCCAUUGCAGGAGUUAAUCAAAGUGCAUGUGCUUACUACAAAAGAAUGUAUGAUUUUUUCUGUGAGAACAAACCAGAACGCUCAACAAGAAGUCAGAUUGGCAUAAAAAAAGGUGGCAACUUAUCCAAAAGGCAGUUAGUAAGUUUUCUGCAUUCAAAUCGAAAGUUGAUAGGCGAAAUGAAAGUGGCAAAAAAUGAACAGGAUAGGAUCGAUGAUGUUGUGAAGAUGUACGAGGAGAAGGAAGCUUUCCAAUUCUUGCACUGUUGGAAGCUGCUACAUAAUGAGCCCAAGUGGAAUGAUAAAGUGCUAGAGCUAAACAACACUCCGACAAGAAAAACACAACAACCAGAAGGCCCCUGUAAUCCCGUUGGUACACAACCCAACACUGAAAAUGCAGCAAUUACAAGGCCUGAAGGUCGUGAUACUGCAAAAAAAAGAAGGUUCAAAGAAGACACUGCAUCAUCUAGUGCUGCUGUAGAAGUGUUGCAGUAGAUGCAAGAGAGGAAUGAAAAAACAGAAGAGAAGCAAGAUGAACAGAUGCAAGAGAUCCUGACAUUGAAGGGGAAUAAAAUGAGGCUUACUGAGAAGAUGUUUGACUUGCAGAAGCAUGAAAUGGAAGUUAAGAACAAGUUGAAGGAGGAGCAGCUCAGUCUUACCAAGCAGGACAUAGAAGCAAGGGCCAAACAAAGCGAGGCACAACUGCUUACUGCUGAAUUGGGCAUCAUGGGAGCAGACUUAGAUAAACUUUCUCCCAGUGUGAGAGCAUACUACGUCGCCAUGCAGCAGCAAAUCAUGGAGCGUAGAGGCAUCAUCACCCCUCACAACAAUGAUGCGGCAUAGAAGCACUUCUGUAGUACUGCUAUAUGUAUUACUUUCAUAUCCAGACUUGUAUUUGCCUUAAUUUAUUCAGACUGCUUGUAUGUGUUCAUCAAGUUAUUCUACAACUAUC
This 1385-nucleotide unclassified non-coding RNA is filed under the name Zea mays. Its description in RNAcentral is "misc RNA Zm00001eb098290". The record is from RNAcentral. Lineage: Eukaryota; Viridiplantae; Streptophyta; Magnoliopsida; Poales; Poaceae.